This 441-nucleotide ribosomal RNA is filed under the name uncultured bacterium. RNAcentral describes it as "partial 16S ribosomal RNA". It matches the Rfam family "Bacterial small subunit ribosomal RNA", at positions 338 to 795 of the family's 1533-position model. The record is from RNAcentral.
CCUACGGGUGGCAGCAGUGGGGAAUAUUGGGCAAUGGAGGCAACUCUGACCCAGCAACGCCGCGUGAAGGAUGAAGGUUUUCGGAGUGGAAACUUCUGUCGCGAGGGAUGAAGAAUGACGGUACCUCGUCAGAAAGCCCCGGCAAACUACGUGCCAGCAGCCGCGGUAAUAGGUAGGGGGCGGGCGUUGACCGGAAUGACUGGGCGUAAAGGGAGUGUAGGCGGCAUAUUAAGUUAUGUGUGAAAGCCUGUGGCUCAACCGCGGAAUUGCAGAUAAAAAUGGUAAGCUGGAGUGCAGGAGAGGUAGGCGGAAUUCGUGGUGUAGCGGUGGAAUGCGUAGAUAUCGGGAAGAACACCGGAGGCGAAGGCGACUUACUGGACUGUAACUGACGCUGAGGCUCGAAAGCGUGGGGAGCAAACAGGAUUAGAUACCCCAGUAGUC